UGGGGAAUAUUGCACAAUGGGCGCAAGCCUGAUGCAGCAACGCCGCGUGAACGAUGAAGGUCUUCGGAUCGUAAAGUUCUGUUGCAGGGGAAGAUAAUGACGGUACCCUGUGAGGAAGCCCCGGCUAACUACGUGCCAGCAGCCGCGGUAAUACGUAGGGGGCUAGCGUUAUCCGGAUUUACUGGGCGUAAAGGGUGCGUAGGUGGUCUUUCAAGUCGGUGGUUAAAGGCUACGGCUCAACCGUAGUUAGCCUCCGAAACUGGAAGACUUGAGUGCAGGAGAGGAAAGUGGAAUUCCCAGUGUAGCGGUGAAAUGCGUAGAUAUUGGGAGGAACACCAGUAGCGAAGGCGGCUUUCUGGACUGCAAAUGACACUGAGGCACGAAAGCGUGGGUAGCAAACAGG
Molecule: ribosomal RNA, 403 nt
Filed under: Verrucomicrobiota bacterium
Lineage: Bacteria; Pseudomonadati; Verrucomicrobiota
Description: Verrucomicrobia bacterium partial 16S ribosomal RNA
Rfam family: Bacterial small subunit ribosomal RNA
Source: RNAcentral